Molecule: ribosomal RNA, 848 nt
Filed under: uncultured Planctomycetaceae bacterium
Lineage: Bacteria; Pseudomonadati; Planctomycetota; Planctomycetia; Planctomycetales; Planctomycetaceae
Description: bacterial SSU rRNA
Rfam family: Bacterial small subunit ribosomal RNA
Source: RNAcentral
UAGGCAUGCGAGUCGCGCGAGAAUGUAGCAAUACAGGAAAGCGGCGAAAGGGAGAGGACAACAUGGGAAUCUGCCCUGGGGGCGAGGAUAGCGUCGGGAAACUGACGGUAAUACUCGAUAAUGUCUGCGGACCAAAGGUGUGAUUCCGCCCCAGGAUGUGCCCAUGUCCCAUUAGCUAGUUGGCGGUGUAAUGGACCACCAAGGCGAUGAUGGGUAGCUGGUGUGAGAGCACGACCAGCCUCACUGGCACUGAGACACUGGCCAGACACCUACGGGUGGCUGCAGUCGAGAAUCUUCGGCAAUGGACGAAAGUCUGACCGAGCGACGCCGCGUGUGGGAUGAAGGUCUUCGGAUUGUAAACCACUGUCGAGGGGAAUCAAAUGCAGGAGGGUCCUCCCUCUUGUUUGAGAGAACCCUGGAGGAAGGGGAGGCUAAGCUCGUGCCAGCAGCCGCGGUAAGACGAGCUCCCCGAACGUUAUUCGGUAUCACUGGGCUUAAAGAGUUCGUAGGCGGCGAAGUAGGUGAGGUGUGAAAGCCCUCGGCUCAACCGAGGAACUGCGCUUCAAACCGCUUUGCUAGAGGGAGAUAGGGGUAAGCGGAACAGAUGGUGGAGCGGUGAAAUGCAUUGAUAUCAUCUGGAACACCGGUGGCGAAAGCGGCUUACUGGGUCUUUUCUGACGCUGAGGAACGAAAGCUAGGGUAGCGAACGGGAUUAGAUACCCCGGUAGUCCUAGCCGUAAACGAUGAGCACUAGUCUGAGGGACUCUCACAGUCUCUCGGACGUAGCGAAAGUGUAAGUGCUCCGCCUGGGGAGUAUGGUCGCAAGGCUGAACUCAAAGGAUUGACGG